AUUGAACGCUGGCUGCAGGCUUAACACAUGCAAGUCGAGCGGUAACAGAGAGAAGCUUGCUUCUCUGCUGACGAGCGGCGGACGGGUGAGUAAUGCCUAGGAAUCUGCCUAGUAGUGGGGGAUAACUUGCCGAAAGGUAAGCUAACACCGCAUACGUCCUACGGGAGAAAGGAGGGGACCUUCGGGCCUUUCGCUAUUAGAUGAGCCUAGGUCGGAUUAGUUAGUUGGUGAGGUAAUGGCUCACCAAGACCGCGAUCCGUAACUGGUCUGAGAGGAUGAUCAGUCACACUGGAACUGAGACACGGUCCAGACUCCUACGGGAGGCAGCAGUGGGGAAUAUUGGACAAUGGGGGGAACCCUGAUCCAGCCAUGCCGCGUGUGUGAAGAAGGUCUUAGGAUUGUAAAGCACUUUAAGUUGGGAGGAAGAGCAGUUAACUAAUAUUUGACUGUUUUGACGUUACCGACAGAAUAAGCACCGGCUAACUUCGUGCCAGCAGCCGCGGUAA
RNAcentral lists this ribosomal RNA (506 nucleotides) under uncultured bacterium. RNAcentral describes it as "partial 16S ribosomal RNA". It matches the Rfam family "Bacterial small subunit ribosomal RNA", at positions 30 to 523 of the family's 1533-position model. The record is from RNAcentral.